AGCGAUUCUCGGCCUUUUGGCUAAGAUCAAGUGUGGUAUCUGUUCUUACCAGUUUAACAUCUGAUGCGUCCUCUAUCUGAGAACAAUGUAUUCCACUGAUUUUGGGAGUGGGAGCUGGAAUGGGAGCUUGCUGUGUGUACUCCACGCAUCAUUUCCCUGGUCCCUGGGUGUUGAACAGGGUUGAUGUACUUGGA
Mustela putorius furo (domestic ferret) is the source of this 194-nucleotide small nuclear RNA. Its record names the gene U2. It matches the Rfam family "U2 spliceosomal RNA". From Rfam's summary of the family: U2 is a small nuclear RNA (snRNA) component of the spliceosome (involved in pre-mRNA splicing). The record is from Ensembl. NCBI's taxonomy places the organism in Eukaryota, Metazoa, Chordata, Mammalia, Carnivora, Mustelidae.